Long non-coding RNA from Rhododendron vialii, 749 nucleotides. RefSeq lists it as uncharacterized. NCBI's taxonomy places the organism in Eukaryota, Viridiplantae, Streptophyta, Magnoliopsida, Ericales, Ericaceae. The transcript is spliced from 3 exons. The record is from RefSeq and is a predicted model, not a curated record.
AGAUUUUGAUUAAGAGGUUGUGAUUACACCAACGUUUGGUUUUAGUGCUCAUCCACUGUUCAAAAGAUGGAUGCGGUGUAUGGCAAAGACAUAAACGAACAAAGAAUUAAAGCCAAAAUGGCUCGGCUAGCGCACAAGAGAAGAUUAAUGACUUAACGUAAUGACCCAUUAAUGAAUCAACGUUUCUUAGAAAUUGAAAGAGAGGCGCGACGUUUGAGAAGUGCAUACUUGCGUCUAAGACGAUUGCGGCGUGCGCCCUUUCUGGUCCGGAACGACCGCAAUAGUGUGAAUGCUCAUGUCAUCCCCAUUGGAGGACAAUCCGUCAAUAUUCCACUACCAACAUCGAAUGAGCCAAAUCCAACCGAAGCUUCCAUGGAAAAUUUGAAUGGAGAUCAAAAAACUAAUCAAAACAUAAUGCUUCCCGUCGGCCAUCCAAAUAUCGGUUAGUCUUACAGUUUUUCCUAUCAAUCGUCAAUUGUUACAAUUUUGAUUUUUUAUAAACUGAAUUUGAGAGAGAGCAAGUAGUGAAUUUUAACCUCACAUCUACAGGUAUAAAUUCAAUAAGAACGCGAAGUCGUACUCAGCCAAAUGUGACGUGUUCUCGAUCAAUACGUUUGCCAGUAAUACUAGAAGAAGGAACAUCAACUAUGUUUCAUGAGACAAUCCUAAUGCCAAAUGAAGGUAUAUUGACCGAUUGUCCAAUAAACAUUAUCAUUCUUUCAAAGAAAUCAAUCAAAUAGUUUAAAAUU